GGGGCUGUAGUGUAGUUUGGUCAACACAAACUUUCAGUUUGCGAGAUUGUGUUUGAAACAAUUAUCACUCGUGGUUUGGGACCGCGCGACCGGGAUUCAAAUUCUCGCAGCCCCA
RNAcentral lists this transfer RNA (115 nucleotides) under Candidatus Woesearchaeota archaeon. RNAcentral's name for it is "tRNA-Pro". The record is from RNAcentral. Lineage: Archaea; Nanobdellati; Candidatus Woesearchaeota.